UAGGGAAUCUUCGGCAAUGGGGGGAACCCUGACCGAGCAACGCCGCGUGAGUGAAGAAGGUUUUCGGAUCGUAAAGCUCUGUUGUUAAGGAAUAACGAGUGUGAGAAUGGAAAGUUCAUGCUGUGACGGUACUUAACCAGAAAGGGACGGCUAACUACGUGCCAGCAGCCGCGGUAAUACGUAGGUCCCGAGCGUUGUCCGGAUUUAUUGGGCGUAAAGCGAGCGCAGGCGGUUAGAAAAGUCUGAAGUGAAAGGCAGUGGCUCAACCAUUGUAGGCUUUGGAAACUUUUUAACUUGAGUGCAGAAGGGGAGAGUGGAAUUCCAUGUGUAGCGGUGAAAUGCGUAGAUAUAUGGCGGAACACCGGUGGCGAAAGCGGCUCUCUGGUCUGUAACUGACGCUGAGGCUCGAAAGCGUGGGGAGCGAACAGG
RNAcentral lists this ribosomal RNA (429 nucleotides) under Bacteroidota bacterium. Its description in RNAcentral is "Bacteroidetes bacterium partial 16S ribosomal RNA". It matches the Rfam family "Bacterial small subunit ribosomal RNA", at positions 355 to 776 of the family's 1533-position model. Lineage: Bacteria; Pseudomonadati; Bacteroidota. The record is from RNAcentral.